GUGAACGCUGGCGGCAGGCCUAACACAUGCAAGUCGAACGGCAGCACAAGAGAGCUUGCUCUCUGGGUGGCGAGUGGCGGACGGGUGAGGAAUGCAUCGGAAUCUGCCCAUUUGUGGGGGAUAACCUCGGGAAACCGGGACUAAUACCGCAUACGACCUACGGGUGAAAGCAGGGGAUCUUCGGACCUUGCGCAGAUGGAUGAGCCGAUGCCGGAUUAGCUAGUUGGAGGGGUAAAGGCCCACCAAGGCGACGAUCCGUAGCUGGUCUGAGAGGAUGAUCAGCCACACUGGGACUGAGACACGGCCCAGACCCCUACGGGAGGCAGCAGUGGGGAAUAUUGGACAAUGGGCGCAAGCCUGAUCCAGCCAUGCCGCGUGUGUGAAGAAGGCCUUCGGGUUGUAAAGCACUUUUGUUGGGAAAGAAAAGCAGCCGGUUAAUACCCGGUUGUCAUGACGGUACCCAAAGAAUAAGCACCGGCUAACUUCGUG
RNAcentral lists this ribosomal RNA (489 nucleotides) under uncultured bacterium. Its description in RNAcentral is "partial 16S ribosomal RNA". It matches the Rfam family "Bacterial small subunit ribosomal RNA", at positions 29 to 507 of the family's 1533-position model. The record is from RNAcentral.